UUAAGCUGAAACUUGAAUCACAUGUAUAACCCUGCCACGCACCGUCUUGAAAAAGUAAUAUCUCGAAAAGAUGGCACAGCAAGUGCCAGUACCCUGAGGAACAAGUGUUUGAAGAAGAGUCAUAAGAGCAGAGUGACCAGAACAUGGAUGGAACCCUCAGACCCAAGAUAGGGCUGUUUAGGCGGAUGAGCCUAAAAAUAUGAAACGUCCAGAUUUCCUGGAACCCUCAGGGCCAACAAGAGCAAACCCUUAACACUUACAAGAACGGGAGAGCCUCCCCACUUCUGAAAACUGUUCAAUUAACUCAGUUUGAAGCAAGUUAAUAUUUAUUCUGCUCAGAAAAUGCCCUGCCACUCCUCGUGACUUCCAGACAAAGUUUCAACACAGCCUAAUAAGUAAAUGAUGGAAAAUUGGAAAAGAUCACAGCUGGGACUCCCACCCCGCUUGAGUGGUAGAAAGAAAGCUCCUACUCUAUUCUUAAAUCCACCCAGGUCACCUUCAAAUGUUUCCACCCUCAGGUUUAGGUACCAUCAUACAUUUUGUGCUGUGAAAUGUACCCAACCUCAUCUGUAGAAUGAUUCCAUUCCUUCAGAAAUUGUAUGACAAGCCUAUCAAGGUACGGAGAAUACCUGCGCCCCCCGAGACUAAUUCCACUUCCAAGGAGAAGGUCAGUUCAAGGUCUG
This is a long non-coding RNA of Hyaena hyaena (striped hyena), 683 nucleotides long. RefSeq lists it as uncharacterized. Lineage: Eukaryota; Metazoa; Chordata; Mammalia; Carnivora; Hyaenidae. The record is from RefSeq and is a predicted model, not a curated record. The transcript has 3 exons.